UCCCUUGUAGCUCAGCUGGUAAAGAAUCUGUCUGCAAUGCAGGAGACCUGGGUUCAAUCCCUGGGUAGGGAA
Molecule: transfer RNA, 72 nt
Organism: Ovis aries (sheep)
Lineage: Eukaryota; Metazoa; Chordata; Mammalia; Artiodactyla; Bovidae
Rfam family: tRNA
About the family: Transfer RNA (tRNA) molecules are approximately 80 nucleotides in length.
Source: Rfam